This is a long non-coding RNA of Aethalodelphis obliquidens (Pacific white-sided dolphin), 2771 nucleotides long. RefSeq lists it as uncharacterized. NCBI's taxonomy places the organism in Eukaryota, Metazoa, Chordata, Mammalia, Artiodactyla, Delphinidae. The transcript is spliced from 4 exons. The record is from RefSeq and is a predicted model, not a curated record.
CCCACGGGUUCGGCUCGCCCCGCCCACCGGCCGCGCCCCGCCCACCCCGCCGGCUCCUGCGGCGCCGCCGGGGUUUCCGAGUCCCGGCGGCUCCAGCGCAGUUCCGGAGUGGAGGGAGGAAGUCCAAUCCCGGCUGCCGGGCUCCCCGCCUCUCCCCCUACGCUCGCGGGGGGCGCCGCGGCCCCUCUUCUCUCCAACGCCCCUGCGGGGAGACAGCCCGGAGAGCAGCAGGAGGAAGAGGAGGCGAUGGUGAAAAAGACAUCUUGUUGUCCCAGCUGCAGUUUGCCGAGCUAGGGCAUUUAUCUUAGGGGGGACAGAAUGCACCCCAGGAAAUCCACGUGUGUUUGGAAUAACACGGCACUUAAAAUAACAAGAAACGUUUUUACAAAUAACCAAAAAACAGCGUUAAAAGCUAAAAAUUAUUUUCCGAAUUUUUUAAACGCUGAGCGUACGUUUUCCGUGAUCUCACGAGGGAUCCCUCGGAGCUGCUGAAGAAGCGGCGAUGUUGUAGGACCCUGCGGCAAGGUUCACACCAAACUCAACACCGGACGCCCCUCGUGGGCACAGAAGAUGCCGAUAUUAGGGCUCCCCUGCAGGUCCCCUACCCAGGAACGAAACCAGGCACGCUGGUUCUUAGAGAAUUGAAAAGCUGGGAAGUAUGGAGUAGGUGAUAGUAAAGAAAAGCUAUAGCGAAUUUGCAGGUAGGGCUUUAAAAGUAUUUCCUCAAAGCGUGGUAGAAAUAGACACGUGGACGCUGGCCUUGAACAGCUGAGGGGGACUCCGAGGCGUCUCCUCAAGGAAGCAGUUAAAUCCAACAUCCUAGAAAGAGAGGGAAAGAAACUCCAACAUGACCCUCGGGUUUUGACAAAGGGACCCCUGACAACAUGUGACUUAAUUAGGACAAAACUGAAGUAAAGCUCCCACAAGAUUCCUGGGAACUGAGUAGAACUGCUUCACUGGAGGCCAAGGAAUCUGUCUGUAGAGGAUCAGAAACCCAUAUCUGACCCAGCAUGUGAGAAGCCAGGAAUAGUUGCCGGCACCCACCCCCGACGGUCAGAUGCGCUGCCAGGCCCUGGAACUGCGGACAUGAGUGGAACAGGGUUCCCUGCCCUGAAGGACUCAGAUUAGAUCCAUCACCCGCGUUCCAUGGGCUUCAAAGAAGGCAGACCUGGAUUCCAAAUUCUGCUUCCCCAUUUCCCAGCCAUGAGACCACAGCUCUGGAGGCUGGGCAGUCCAAGAUGAUGAUGCCUACAGAUGUGGAGGAUUGGAGUCCUGCUUCGUGGAUGGCAGUCUUUUCACUGUGUUCUCACUUGGCAGAAAGAGCAAGGGGGUUUCCUGGGGUCUCUUUUGUAAGGUCACUAAUCCCAUUCAUGAGGGCUCUACCUUCAUGACCUGCUCACCUCCCAAAAGCCCCACCUCCUAAAAGCAACACAUUGGGGAAUAGGUGUCAACAUAUGAACAGGGGGGUGGGGGGCAACAGAAACAUUCAGUCUAUAGCAUUGUGUUUUUGAAUUAGAUUGCAAGUUCCUUUGUAUUACCGUAAUUAUUCUUAUGGGAUAAACAAAGAUCGAAAAAACAUACAAAGUGUACUGCUUUGCUAGGGCUGCCAUAACAAGAUACCACAGACGGGUGGCUUUGACACAGGAGCGAAGGGGUCAGAACACAACCUCUAAAACAAUGACAUAGCCCUUGAGGAUACAGCAAAAACUGGUUAGAACCAACUAGGUCCAAGAUGGCGGAAGGCUUGACUUCCAGUAGAUUAUGAGCCUCACUGUGCGCUCACUCUAAUAUUAUACGUUAGCUAAAUGACACACCCACAGGCGCCAUGACAGUUCUGAGGCCGACCAUAAAAGGCCAAAAAGUGGGCGGUGGCCCAAUUCCCGGAAAUCCCCACCCCUUCCCCGAAAUAGUUGGAAUAAUCCCCCCACUCAUUAGCCUGUGAAAUUACCCAGCCUAUAAAAACUAACCACCCCGUAUUUCAGGGACCCUCGCCUUCUGAGACAGACCGCAUUCUGUCUCUGGCCUGUGUCUCUCUCUAAAGAAAUCCACUUCUUACCUAUCACUUUGUCUCUCACUGAAUUCUUUCUGCAGUGAAACAUAAAGAACCUGAGCUUCAUUAAGUCCUGAGGCCAGGUGUGUGAUCUCAAUGAAAAGACAGUGGGUUCAGGUCCCAAUCUGGGUUCUGGCCAGGUUUGAGUCCCGGCCCAUGGGUUCAAGUCACAAUCUGAGUUGUGUGGUUUCAGCUUAACCAACAUAAAUUUUUUUCUCAUGGUUUUGGGGCUGGAAGUCCAAGGUCAAGGUGCUUGGAAGUUUGGUUUCUGGUGAGAUUUCUCCCUUGACUUGCAGGUGGCCGCCUUCCCGCUCUGUCCUCAAACGGCCCCUUCCCUGUGGGAUCGCAUCCCUGGUGUCCCUUCCUUUUCUCAUAAGGACGCCAGUAAUAUUGGGUUAGGGCCCAACCAUAUGAUGUCAUUUAACCUUAAUUACCUCUUUAAAAGUGUUGUCUCCAAAUACAGUCCCAUUCUGAGGUGUAGCAGGGGUCAGGACUUCAACAUAUGAAUUUUGGGUGUACACACUUCCAUCCGUAACACAUGGUAAAAACAGUACAAAAGGAUACACAUUGAAAACUACAUCUCGCAUCCACCCUGCCUUCAGUCCUGUGUCCUCAAAUGCACGUUAUCAUUCAGAUUUUACGUGCCUCUGAAUGUAAGGCUUUUUGUUUGGUUUUUUGUAUUUUUUUUUUUUUUGGCUACGUUGAGUCUUCGUUGCUGCGC